This is an RNA transcript of Cottoperca gobio, 5047 nucleotides long. It is a transcript of the gene named epithelial cell transforming 2, with no coding region annotated. Lineage: Eukaryota; Metazoa; Chordata; Actinopteri; Perciformes; Bovichtidae. The record is from RefSeq and is a predicted model, not a curated record. The transcript has 28 exons.
GAAUUGAGUUUUUACAGCAGGCAGACGCCUUCUUGGGAUUACUAUGAAGUAGUUACCUGUCAACAAAUUAAGCAGCCACUUUUCGACAAUUUGGACUAUUUUCGCGCAUAAAGGGCAACAUGCAUUGACACCAGACUUGAGAUUUAACGGAGAGAUGUUACAGAUUUUUAGACCGAAGAGGACUUCAUCAUUGUAUUGUUGACUCACUAGCUCGGUAGCUAGCUAAGUUAGCUACAGAGUUUAUUCAAUUUAACGGCAGCUAGUUUAGCUCCGCUAGCUCCCUGUUCAGUUAUUUCUAUAUCUAACGUACCAGCCACCGAAACAGUCGUUUAGACAGAUUGGUGCCUCCAUAAGUUCCUGCCAUGGCUGACAGCAGCAUACUGACUUUAGGGACAGCCCGGAGUCUGUUGGUGGAUUCUUCAAUCUGUGAUUCGAGGAUCGCCGAAACCACCAAGGACCAUCUAUUUCUGGGCAUGGCAUGUGAAGAUGGGGAAGAUAUGCUGCCAAAAGUGGAGACGAGGGUUGUUCUUGUGGGAGAAGCAGGCAGAAAUGGAGCGCUGGUCAAAGCAUUGCAGGCCAUCAGAGUAAUGGAGGUACCGGUGGUAAAGAUAAGAGAAGGCGAGGCGGGUGCCAAGGAGAAAAUGAUGAUAAAAUCUAUAGUCAAUAUGGACAUCAACACCCCAUGCAUAAUGACGGACAACGUCCAGGAGUUUGGAGAUGGAGAGAACACUGAUUUCGAGACGGUGUUCGUCCUCAUAGACUUUGAUUCUCCCGACUACAGCUACCUCUACAAACGUGAUAACCGCAUUGUUGGGCCUCCUGUUGUGCUGGGCUGUGCUGCAAAGGAGGAACCUCUACAGUUUUCAUGUCGUCCUCUCUACUCCACCACGAUGCUGAACCUGUCCUUGUGUUUCACCGGCUUCAGGAACAAAGAGGAAAUUAAGAACUUGGUGAAUUUGGUUCAUCACAUGGGUGGGGCCAUUCGGAAAGACUUCAGCACCAAGGUUACUCAUCUCAUAGCCUGCUCCACUCACGGAGAGAAAUACAGGUUGGCAGUGUGCAUGGGGACGCCGAUUCUCACUCCAUCAUGGAUUCAUACGGCCUGGGAGAGAAGGGAAGACGUGCACUUUCAUGCAGGGGAAGAGGAGUUUCGAACGGAGUUCAAAGUGCCUCCGUUCCAGGACUGCACCCUGAGUUUCUUGGGUUUCUCAGAUGAAGAGAAGGCCAACAUGGAGGAGAGGACUCUCAAACAUGGUGGCAGUUAUCUUGAGGUUGGAGAUGACCGGAGUACACACAUGGUGGUGGAGGAAAACUCUGUGAAGGAGCUGCCAUGUUCUCCCUCCAGGAAACUCUUUGUGGUCAAGCAGGAGUGGUUCUGGGGAAGCAUUCAGAUGGACGCUCGGGCCGGAGAGUCCAUGUACCUCUACGAGAAGAAUGACAGCCCAGCCAUGAAGAAGGCAGUGUCCCUCCUCUCCCUCACCACCCCCAACAGUAACCGGAAGCGUCGGCGCCUCAGGGACACGCUGGCUCAGCUCACCAAGGAGACAGAGAUCUCGCCCUUCCCUCCGCCACGCAAAAGGCCGUCAGCAGAGCACUCCCUGUCCAUAGGUUCUCUGCUGGACAUCUCUAAUACCCCUGAGACAUGCAAGGCCUUGGCAGAAGACAGAUUAGGGAACAGUUCAGAGAGCAGAGACAAUGCUGUGACCAGGAAUAUGAUAAGAAGAAGGAAAUCCAGAGAAAGCAGGAUUAGGACAGGUAGGGAAGAGAGGAGGAAAAGGUCCUACCUGGGGACAAGUACUCUUCUACAACAAGAGGGGGAGCAGCAGCAGCAGCCAGGAACUUCAGAGAGUUCUAAGCCAUCCAAGAGUUCCACUCCGGUUCCAUCCAGGCAGUCAGCCAGGUGGCAGGUCUCGAAGGAGCUCUACCAGACUGAGAGCAACUAUGUAGACAUUUUAAGCACCAUCCUACAGCUUUUCAAGCUUCCAUUGGAGAAAGAGGGGCAGGUGGGAGGACCCAUCCUUGCCCAAGAAGAAAUGAAGACCAUAUUUGGAAGCAUCCCAGAAAUCUACGAUGUUCACACUAGAAUAAAGAGUGACCUUGAGGAGCUCCUGACAGACUGGUCAGAUGACAGGAGUGUCGGAGAUAUCAUUCUCAAAUAUUCUUAUGAGCUGGUGAAGGCCUACCCACCCUUUGUCAACUUUUUUGAAAUGAACAAGGAGACAAUUGUUCGCUGUGAGAAACAAAAGCCACGCUUCCAUGCUUUUCUCAAGAUCAACCAGUCCAAGCCAGAGUGCGGCAGGCAGACACUGGUGGAGCUGCUCAUCAGACCUGUACAGAGACUCCCUAGUGUGGCCCUUCUUCUUAACGACAUAAAGAAGCAUACGCCAGAUGACAACCCAGACAAGAUAACACUGGAGAAAGCAAUCGAGUCUCUGAAAGAAGUCAUGACUCACAUCAAUGAGGACAAAAGGAAGACUGAAGGCCAGAAGCAGAUCUUUGAUGUUGUUUAUGAAGUUGAUGGCUGUCCUGCCAACUUGCUGUCCUCUCAUCGCAGUCUGGUGUACAGAGUAGAAACAAUUGCCCUGGGAGACCAGCCUUGUGACCGUGGAGAACAGGUCACACUCUUCCUCUUCAAUGACUGCCUUGAGAUUGCCAGGAAACGACACAAGGUGAUCAAUACAUUUAAAAGUCCGCUGGGACAGACGAGACCACCUGCCCCGCUCAAACACAUCACGCUGAUGCCGCUGUCCCAGAUUCGAAGAGUGCUGGACCUGCAGGACACGGAGGAGUGUGCGAAUGCAUUCGCCCUGGUGGUUCACCCUCCAACUGAACAGGAGAACUUGUUGUUCAGCUUCCAACUGACUGGAGAGGAAACAGUUAAAAGUGCCUGGCUGCGAACACUUUGCCGCCAUGUCGCCAACACCAUCUGCAGGGCUGAUGCGGAGGACCUGAUUCAGUGUACAGACCCAGACUCACUACAGGUCAGCACCAAGGAUAUGGACAGCACCCUGAGCAAAGCCUCCAGGGCCAUCAAGAAGACCUCCAAAAAGGUGACGAGGGCCUUCUCAUUCACAAAGACCCCGAAGCGUGUGAUCCAGAGGGCGUUCAUGGCCAGCAGUACUCCGGAUGAGAAAAGCCAGAGGCUGAGUUGUGAAAACCGCAUCGGCAGCAGCUCCACGCUGGCUAUGUCUCGCUCUGCCUCCACGUUCAGUUUGGGUGAUUCUGCCAAGAGCAGUGCUGUGGUGCAGCGCUCUAACUCUCUGGACCAUCCUGUUGUCAGAGCCAGGGUCCCUCUCUGUAUACGUACCCCCUGCAGCCCUACCCACAGCCCCGGCCCUAACCCUGCCCUUGAGUUCAGUCAAAGUCUCUGCCCCAGCUAUCACCCUAGUUCCCAAGAAUCCAAGCCCAUCCUUCAUGCUCCGUUAAUGUCCCAACCAGCACAAGCCCAGUCAGGCCUCUACACUUCCCAACAGUCCACUUCUUCAGCCCGUGGCUCCUCCGCCUUCAAUCCAGCCGUCAGAAACUCCACUCAGCUCAAAUCCAAAAACUCCCAUCCAAAAUCUAGCCUGCUUGUGUCCAAACACCUGUCCUCUGUAGGGUUCCAGCCAAGGUUCCCGGCUCCUCAGCCUGUUAAUGUCAUAGGCAGGACCUUUUCGGAGUCAUGCAGGGAUCCUCAAGUCCCAUCGGACCCACGCUUGGCUGCCCUGACCAGUCCUCGCAGGGAGACUCUGCUCUAAGCCAUCGCUAAUCUCUGACGGAGUCUGACUCGGCCAUAGACUGAGACUUUGAUGUACGGCCCACGGAGCAGCUAAAAGGCUGCUGUGACAGUGUUGUGAUCAACCCCUUUUCAUACACGCCAAUAAAAACACAUCUGGGUAAACGCACGCCAUUCACCCUCCAUGGUCAAUCUGCCUUCCAUGUUUGAGAGAAAGUACCACACAUUCAGUCGUUCCACCACCCACCUCUUCUGAGACACUGCUGCUGGGGAGCACCAGCACAAGUCCACCCAUCUUUUCACCUCCUUUGCCUUGACUGCCACUAACAGCAAGACCUGAGCAGACAGGUGUCUGCGUCUGAAGUUGAAGCUACCUGUAAAUUAUGGCAAACUAGCAUUUGUCCAAACUGGAGCUCCUCACAGACUCUCCAAGUCCAGAGAAAAUGGCAUUCAGGUCCAAGAAGGGUUAAAACCAUAAACCAAAUGUUCAUCAGCCUGGUGCAUUCAGCUAGAAGUGUUUUGUGUUGCUGAGAACUCGCACCUGACCAGGCAGUGUGGUGCGUCUUUCCAAACAUGCACAAUGCUUGAAUUAAGACUCAACUGGAACGGUACUGCACCGUGCUCGGGGCUACAGGUGUGUGGUUACCACUGUAACAUUUGCCUUACUCUUAAAAAAUGAAGGAUGCUCUGCUUUUGUCUGCAAUUGUUAAUCUGGACAUACGUCAUUAUUUUAAGUUUAGUGUUUAUACGUUGCCUGUUGAACACUAACUAUAGAUCAGUAAAUGUCUGUCCUCUGGGGACUUUGUGUGGCCCCAAAUGUCCCUGCGCUUAGGGAAAGUAAGAUAACAUUUAUUUUAAAUGUUCAGAUAUUUCUAUUUAACAAAUGCAGGUUGUUAAGCUCUUUUUGUGUUUUAUGUACUAGUUAAAGGUUGCCCUUACUCUGUGAGAGCUUUUUAUAUGAACCUUUAAUGUUUUAUUGUAGUGGGGUAGACGUCAUCACCUGAUAUAAUAUUUCUUGUUAUUAACCCACCUUCAACAUUUAAACUUAUGAUAGUUUCCAGCUUUUAUAAAGCUUCUAUUUUAUCAUUUAAGAGAUUCGGUUGAGAAGAAUAAAAGUUCUUAUGCUCGUCUACGUUUUUAAAUAUCUUUUUACUGUGUGUGUGUGUGUGUUUGUGUGUGAGGAGGAAUGCUGUGUUAGUGUACAUAUUUAUUAUUUUUUCACUUUCUAUUUAUGUUGUUUUCCACUUUUCUGUUUUUUCUUUAAUGCUGUUUUCAUUGCGCUUCAGUGUCUCCUGUUGUUUAAUCUCUGUAUUAAAUGCACUUAAACAUGUA